This 497-nucleotide ribosomal RNA is filed under the name uncultured bacterium. RNAcentral's name for it is "partial 16S ribosomal RNA". It matches the Rfam family "Bacterial small subunit ribosomal RNA", at positions 28 to 507 of the family's 1533-position model. The record is from RNAcentral.
GAUGAACGCUGGCGGCGUGCCUAAUACAUGCAAGUCGAGCGAACAGAUGAGGAGCUUGCUCCUCUGACGUUAGCGGCGGACAGGUGAGUAACACGUGGAUAACCUACCUAUAAGACUGGGAUAAAUUCGGGAAACCGGAGCUAAUACCGGAUAAUAUAUUGAACGGCAAGGUUCAAUAGUGAAAGACGGUUUUGCUGUCACUGAUAGAUGGAUCCGCGCCGCAUUAGCUAGUUGGAAAGGUAACGGCUUACCAAGGCAACGACGCGUAGCCGACCUGAGAGGGUGAUCGGCCACACUGGAACUGAGACACGGUCCAGACUCCUACGGGAGGCAGCAGUAGGGAAUCUUCCGCAAUGGGCGAAAGCCUGACGGAGCAACGCCGCGUGAGUGAUGAAGGUCUUCGGAUCGUAAAACUCUGUUAUUAGGGAAGAACAAAUGUGUAAGUAACUAUGCACGUCUUGACGGUACCUAAUCAGAAAGCCACGGCUAACUACGUG